UGCCUAAGUAUAAAUUUCAUCCUUAUGGUAAAACUGCGAAUGGCUCAUUAAAUCAGUUAUUAUCUGUUUGGUGUUUUUCAUUAAAAAAAUAAAAAAAUAAAUGGAUAACUCUAUUAACGUAGAGCUAAUACAUGCACAAUAAAAAACAAAUUAAAGUUCUUGUCAGUUUAAAAAAAAAAAAAAGCCAAACUUUUUUGUUUUUUUUUUUUAAAAAAAAACAAAAAUGAAAAAAAAAAAUAUAUUUUAAAAAAAAAAUUGGCUGARACAUGACAAUAAAAACAAAUCGCUAARAGGUAAAAAACUCAUAACAAAAAUAUACAUAAAACCCUCGGCGAUAAUCCAUUUGAAUUUCUGCCCUAUCAACUUGAUGGUAGGAUAGAGGCCUACCAUGGUCGUUACGGGUAACGGGGAAUUAGGGUUUGAUUCCGGAGAGGGAGCUUGAGAAAUGGCUACCACUUCUAUGGAAGGCAGCAGGCGCGCAAAUUACCCAAUCCUGACACAGGGAGGUAGUGACAACAAAUAACAAUGCCAGGUAAAAAUUUUUAACCCCUCGCGGGGGCUUGGCGAUUGGAAUGGGAAAAAUUCAAACUCCUUAUCGAGUAACAAUUGGAGGGAAAGUCUGGUGCCAGCAGCCGCGGUAAUUCCAGCUCCAAUAGUGUAUAUUAAAGCUGUUGCGAUUAAAAAGCUCGUAGUUGGAAUUUUAUAUUUUUUUAAAAUAAAAUAUUUUAUUUUAAAGUUUGAAAUUUUUUUUUUGGAAAAAAAAAGUUCAUUUUUUUUUAAAAAAAAAAGAAUUUUAAAAAUUUUUAAAAAAAAAUAUUUUAUUAAAAAAAAAAAGAUUUUUUUUUAAAAUAAAAAAAUAUAAAUAUUUUUUUAUAUUUUUAUUUUUUUAUAAAAAAUAAAAAAAAUCAAAUGAAAAAAAAAAUUUAUAAAUAUUUAUAUUUAUAUUUAUUUUUUUUCAAUUUACUUUGAAAAAAUUAAAGUGUUCAAAGCAGGUAAAAAAAUAUUAUUUUUUUUUAUUAUUAAAUUUUUAAUAAUAAAAAAAAAAAAGCCAUUUGAAUAUUAUUAGCAUGGGAUAAAAAAAAUCAACUUUUUUUUAAAAAAAAAUCUUGUAUUUUUCUUUUGGUUUUAAAAUUUUUUUAUUUUUUUAAAAAAAUAAAAAACCAAGGUUUUUAAAAAAAAAAAAAAGUUAAAGAUUAAAAAAGGAACGGUCGGGGUGAUUCAUAUUUAAUUGUCAGAGGUGAAAUUCUUGGAUUUCUGAAAGAUGAACUUUUGCGAAAGCGUCUCACAAGGACGUUUUCAUUAAUCAAGAACGAAAGUUGGGGGAUCGAAGACGAUCAGAUACCGUCGUAGUCUCAACUAUAAACUAUACUGACCAGGGAUUGGAAGAAAAUUCAAAAUAAAGUUUUUUUUAAAAAAUAUUUCUUUUUUUAGAGACAUUUUUAAAAAAAAACACAAAAAAAAAAAAACUCCUCCAGCACCUUUGAGAGAAAUCAUUGAGUGUUUAAGUUUCGGGGGGAGUAUGGUCGCAAGGCUGAAACUUAAAGGAAUUGACGGAAGGGCACACCAGGAGUGGAGCGUGCGGCUUAAUUUGACUCAACACGGGGAAACUUACCAGGUCAGGACAAUUGAAGGAUUGACAGGUCGAUAGCUCUUUCUCGAUUAAUUGGGUGGUGGUGCAUGGCCGUUCUUAGUUCGUGAAGUGGUUUGUCUGGUUAAUUCCGAUAACGAACGAGACCUUUACCUAUUAAAAUAGUUUUGUUAAAAAUUAUUAUUUUUUUUGUAAAAAAUAUUUUUUAUUUUUUAUAAAAAAAAUAUAUUACACAAAAAAAAAUUAUUUUUUUUAAAAAAUUUUUAUUUUCAAAUAAAAAAGUUUUAAAAAAAAAAAUAAAAAAAAUUCACUUCUUAAAGGGACAAUCCGUGUUUAACGAAUGGAAGAUUGAGGCAAUAACAGGUCUGUGAUGCCCUUUGAUGUCCUGGGCUGCACGCGCGCUACACUGGUGAAUUUAAUAUGUUUCAUUUUUUUAAUUUUUUUUUUAUAAAAAAAAUAAUUUUAUUAUUUUUUAAUAAAAAAAAAAAAUAAAAAAAACCUAAACUGAAAAGUUUAUUUUUAUUUUUUUUCAAAAAAAAAUAUAAAAAAAGGGUAAUCAUUUAAAAUUCACCGUGCUGGGGAUAAAACCUUGUAAUUAUAGUUUUUAAACGAGGAAUUCCUAGUAGUCGCGAGUCAUCAGCUCGCGUCGAUUACGUCCCUGCCCUUUGUACACACCGCCCGUCGCUCCUACCGAUUGGAUGAUGAGGUGAAGAUGGUGUAUUUUUUUUAAUUUUUUUAAUUUUUUAUUUAAAAAAAAGAAAAAAAAAUACCUUUCUAAACCUCAUCAUCUAGAGGAAGGAGAAGUCG
RNAcentral lists this ribosomal RNA (2395 nucleotides) under Mastigella erinacea. RNAcentral's name for it is "partial small subunit ribosomal RNA". It matches the Rfam family "Eukaryotic small subunit ribosomal RNA". The record is from RNAcentral. Lineage: Eukaryota; Evosea; Pelobiontida.